CCACUUAAUGAUGACAAAGUUGUCACCUAUAUACUUAGUGGUCUCAACAACGUCUAUGACCCACUGGUGACCUCCCUCACCACACGCAUGGAGCAGGUAACUCUAAGUAAUCUAUACACUCAUCUAAUGAGUUUUGAGA
Small nucleolar RNA from Dioscorea cayenensis subsp. rotundata (Guinea yam), 139 nucleotides. RefSeq annotates it as small nucleolar RNA Z247. The record is from RefSeq and is a predicted model, not a curated record. NCBI's taxonomy places the organism in Eukaryota, Viridiplantae, Streptophyta, Magnoliopsida, Dioscoreales, Dioscoreaceae. The transcript has a single exon.